CGAGUUUGUCGCGAGACGCGUACAGAUCUCACCGACCGCCGAAAGAAGACGAUGAGUCGCUAAUGGCGACAAGAGUGAGUUUUGACAGCAAAAAGAGAAGCGUAGAACAUCGUUCGCCAUGGUAGCCUGUGCUCCCUGCGGCCGUCCUCUUUUGCUUUGCUUCUACUUCAACCUACCUCCCUCCAACUCAUUCUCUUCCAUAAAAUAGAUUAGAUUGCCUCCGCUUGCUUUUUCCCACUCCCGCACACAAAAAGAAGGUCCAAAGUGCUCAUGGAGGUCUCGGGCCGCGUCUCGUCUGGGAGAAACUCGUUGCCGCUGCUGCCGAGGUCGCCGGCGAGGAGGAGGGGGGAAGGCGGAGGAGGAGGAGGAGGAGGGGCAGAGGAGGCAGGCAUGGAGGCGCUUGGGAGGCUGGUGAGGCGAGUGAAGCCCUUCGAGCAUGUCGGCCUUCUGGGGUUCGUCGUCUUCACCGCCGUCCUGUUCCUCUCGCUGCUCUGCUUCGCCCACUUGGACUACAGCUGGGUGUGGCCCGGUGGCGGAGGGUAUCGGGGGUUAUGGAUCUCUGGGACGAAGGGUGGCGGUGGGGAGAGAGGGAAGAGCCACGGCGGCGGCGGUGGAGAAUGCGAUUGGUCCGAGGGGGGGUGGGUGUGGGACGAGGGGUAUCCGUUGUACGAGUCCAAGGACUGUGGUUUCAUGGACGAGGGUUUCCGCUGCUCGGAGAACGGGCGACCCGAUCGAUUCUACACCAAGUGGCGGUGGCAGCCCGCUGGCUGUGAUCUUCCCAGAUUUAAUGCAAAGAAGAUGCUGAAGAAGCUAAGGAACAGAAGGUUGGUGUUUGUUGGUGAUUCGAUAGGGAGGAACCAAUGGGAGUCCCUCCUCUGCAUGCUUUCCAUGGUGGUUUCUAACAAGAGCUCGAUCUAUGAAGUCAAUGGUAGCCCAAUUACAAAACAUAUGGGAUUCUUGGUUUUCAAAUUUGAAGAAUACAAUUGCACUGUGGAGUAUUACAGGUCACCGUUUCUGGUUCUCCAGAGCCGUGUCCCACCAGGGUUACCGGAGCAAAUUAAGACUACACUUCGACUGGAUGUCCUGGAUUGGACAUCCACCAGGUGGAAAGAUGCUGAUGUGCUUGUCUUUAACACCGGGCAUUGGUGGAACUACGAGAAGACUGUCAGAGGGGGUUGCUACUUCCAAGAAGGUAAUGACGUGAAGAUGGAGAUGAGUGUUGAUGAUGCUUUUCGGAGAUCAAUUCGAACAUUAUUUGAAUGGAUCCAUAAAGAAGUCGAUAAGAGCAAGACUCAUGUUAUCUUUCGCACUUACGCUCCUGUUCAUUUCAGAGGUGGGGACUGGAAAACAGGAGGGAGUUGCCACUUAGAAACACUUCCUGAUCUAGUUUCAUCUACAGUAUCAUCAAAAGCAUGGGCUCAUCUGUUGGAACCGUUUAGGAAUAUGCCCUCGUCAAAUUCAACUAUGAAUCAGGCACUAGAGUUGGAUCUGCUGAACAUAACCCAGAUGACAGCUCGAAGGAGAGAUGGCCAUUUAUCAGUAUUCUACCUUGGUUCUUCGGGACCUGCCCCCCUCCACAAGCAGGAUUGCAGCCACUGGUGUUUACCCGGGGUUCCAGAUACAUGGAAUGAGCUACUCUAUGCACUCAUUUUGAAAUGGGAGUUGCAGAAGCAUCAAAAUAUGACCUUCUUGAGCACAGCCAGAGUAGAGCUGGUACAGUAAAGUUCAGCUGUCAAGACUGCUAACUUGCACAAAGCUUAUACAGGACAGGUUUGCCAUUUAUCUUUGUGGAAACCCUUGUUGGAACUCUGGACCAUCAGAAAGCUUCUGAUGUAAAGUUCUGCUGUCAAGAGUGCUAACUUGCACAAAGUCUCUACAGGACAGGUUUGCCAUUUAUCUUUGUGGAAACCCUGUUGGAACUCUGGACCAUCAGAAAGGAUUACUGGCAUAUAAUUUCCAUAUACCUGUCGAUACAGAUUGCUCAUAGUAGCUCAUUACAGUAGCAACAGAAGAGAUGGAUACACUUCACUUACUAUCUUGUAAGUUGGUAAUUGUUGUUCUGGUUGUAAAGCAACAGCAGUGUGUUCUACAGAUGGCACUUAAUAGGAGUUUUGGAAAGGCUGUGAAGGAGCUACAUAGGAAUCAUAUAUUGAUUUUUCAUGCUGUGUAAGCUUUUUGACUUGGAGCUCUCCAGCAUAGUUUGUGGAGGAAAGUUGUUCUUUUGCUUGAGCUAAUUUAUUUCAGCAAGCCAUUAGUGUAUGAAGUAUCACUGCUACCAUUUCAGCUUUCUUGAGUUAAAAGCCUUUGCAACUUAAUGCCUUCUAAUUGUUUCUUCACGCAAACUCUCUGUAAGUGUGAUGACGAAAUUUUAACUCAUGUCUUCAUCUUUGUUAUGUAGCAUCUCAUCAUCUGUUUAAGAACUUGCUGUAGCAAACUCUCUUCAUUGCACGUCUCAGGCAGUUGCAGAGUCGGAGUUUCACGUGCCAAGGGAAGCGGAUAGCUCUCAUGCAAUAGGGUUGUAGAUGAAGAAGACGUGGGCAGUUGGUGAUUAGGAGAGGCCAUGAGCGGCGCCGCAGAGCGGCCGUGAGAGUUGACUCGGUGGAGACGGCACUCGAACAACCCGGCGUGCGUGGCCGGAGCGCACACGCACUUUGUCGCCGGCGGAGGAGACGGAGGACCAUUUCCUCCUCUGGGUCCGUGGCGAAGGAGUUGCCCGCUGAUGCUGGUUGCACUCGCGGCCGUGGUGCUGGUGCUGCUGUUCCUUGCCUGCUUCCGUAGCAGCGACGAAGGUGGACGCCAUGCUACCGGCGAGACUUCCCUAGGUGUUCAAUAUCGAGAUCUCGAACCAAAAACCGAUAGUUCGUGUGCAGAGCACUAGAAGAAUGAUCACUCGAAUGAAGAGUCACGAAGAUGAAAUGUGUUGGUGAACAAAUGUGUCGUGCGUCAGCGUGGCGUGGUCCACGGGUCGAUGUCGGGAGUCUUCUGUCCGUCGAGCUGGAUGCAGAGGUUGACCGGGCCCUCACGACGGGUCUUGAUCGGCGUCUGGCUCCUCGUGGGGACGUCGAUCGACGAUUUUCGAGGUUGGGACGCUCACAGGUAGUGAGUGGUCGUUUUCCUGUAAAAAUGACCUUCGUCAGGUGAUUCCCGACUUUGGCCCCUC
RNA transcript from Musa acuminata AAA Group (dessert banana), 3160 nucleotides. It is a transcript of the gene named protein trichome birefringence-like 10, with no coding region annotated. The record is from RefSeq and is a predicted model, not a curated record. The transcript is spliced from 5 exons. Lineage: Eukaryota; Viridiplantae; Streptophyta; Magnoliopsida; Zingiberales; Musaceae.